Molecule: ribosomal RNA, 253 nt
Filed under: uncultured bacterium
Lineage: Bacteria
Description: partial 16S ribosomal RNA
Rfam family: Bacterial small subunit ribosomal RNA
Source: RNAcentral
UACGUAGGGUGCAAGCGUUGUCCGGAAUUAUUGGGCGUAAAGAGCUCGUAGGCGGCUUGUUGCGUCGGCUGUGAAACCCCGGGGCUCAACCCCGGGCCUGCAGUCGAUACGGGCAGGCUAGAGUCCGGCAGGGGAGACUGGAAUUCCUGGUGUAGCGGUGAAAUGCGCAGAUAUCAGGAGGAACACCGGUGGCGAAGGCGGGUCUCUGGGCCGGAACUGACGCUAAGGAGCGAAAGCGUGGGGAGCGAACAGG